AAAAAUACACGCCCCUAUCCUGCAACAACUGCUGCCAAAACCUGAGACGAGUCUUUUUCAUGUUACUCAUAAUAUAGAUCCGAACCGCCAUUCCGUAGUGAACCGACAUGGUGAGUUAGUCUCCAAGCCUUCUUCUACGUGGUCCAAGCACUUUCACGUUCGAAGAGAAGACCGACCGACCCGGUACUAUAACUUAGGUACUAUAUAAUGGACACCCUCGAACCAUCAUCAAAGUGCAAAGAAAAGUUAACGAAGAGGCUGAUCCUGAUGAUGACCAUG
Molecule: unclassified non-coding RNA, 279 nt
Filed under: Melitaea cinxia (Glanville fritillary)
Lineage: Eukaryota; Metazoa; Arthropoda; Insecta; Lepidoptera; Nymphalidae
Description: misc RNA ENSMCXG00005008224.1
Source: RNAcentral